This 112-nucleotide ribosomal RNA is filed under the name uncultured bacterium. RNAcentral's name for it is "partial 16S ribosomal RNA". It matches the Rfam family "Bacterial small subunit ribosomal RNA", at positions 1373 to 1482 of the family's 1533-position model. The record is from RNAcentral.
CCCGGGCCUUGUACACACCGCCGUCACACCACGAAAGUCGGCAACACCCGAAGUCAGUGGCCCAACCCGCAAGGGAGGGAGCUGCCGAAGGUGGGGGUUGGUGAUUGGGGUG